Molecule: ribosomal RNA, 102 nt
Filed under: Vibrio mimicus CAIM 1883
Lineage: Bacteria; Pseudomonadati; Pseudomonadota; Gammaproteobacteria; Vibrionales; Vibrionaceae
Source: RNAcentral
UUUGAUCAUGGCUCAGAUUGAACGCCCGAACUCAGAAGUGAAACGAAACAGCGUCGAUGGUAGUGUGGGGUCUCCCCAUGUGAGAGUAGAACAUCGCCAGGC